Molecule: ribosomal RNA, 499 nt
Filed under: uncultured bacterium
Lineage: Bacteria
Description: bacterial SSU rRNA
Rfam family: Bacterial small subunit ribosomal RNA
Source: RNAcentral
GAUGAACGCUAGCGACAGGCCUAACACAUGCAAGUCGAGGGGCAGCACGGGAGUAGCAAUACAACUGGUGGCGACCGGCGCACGGGUGAGUAACACGUAUGCAACCUACCUGUAAGAGGGGAAUAACCCGGAGAAAUCCGGACUAAUACCGCAUAAUACUGAUUUUUCUGCAUGGAAUAUUAGUUAAACAUUUAUGGCUUACAGAUGGGCAUGCGUAUGAUUAGUUAGUUGGUGAGGUAACGGCUCACCAAGACAUCGAUCAUUAGGGGUUCUGAGAGGAAGGUCCCCCACACUGGUACUGAGACACGGACCAGACUCCUACGGGAGGCAGCAGUGAGGAAUAUUGGUCAAUGGGCGAGAGCCUGAACCAGCCAAGUCGCGUGAAGGAAGACGGUUCUAUGGAUUGUAAACUUCUUUUGAAGGGAAUAAAGUGCACUACGUGUAGUGUUUUGUAUGUACUUUACGAAUAAGGAUCGGCUAACUCCGUGCCAGCAGCCGA